This 142-nucleotide unclassified non-coding RNA is filed under the name Sitophilus oryzae (rice weevil). RNAcentral's name for it is "uncharacterized LOC115889445, transcript variant X1". Lineage: Eukaryota; Metazoa; Arthropoda; Insecta; Coleoptera; Curculionidae. The record is from RNAcentral.
UAAAAGUGUAUAUAAGAAUAUACGAUAUUACAAACAAUAGAAGUGUUUUAUUAACAAAUAGCAAUCACCACAAUUGGCGACGAGGACUAAUUAAGAAAAUUACCAAUUUCAUUAAACAAGAUGAGAAAUACCUGUUCUAAAG